RNAcentral lists this ribosomal RNA (301 nucleotides) under uncultured bacterium. RNAcentral describes it as "partial 16S ribosomal RNA". It matches the Rfam family "Bacterial small subunit ribosomal RNA", at positions 509 to 808 of the family's 1533-position model. The record is from RNAcentral.
CAGCCGCCGCGGUAAAACGAAGGGUGCAAGCGUUACUCGGAAUUACUGGUCGCAAAGCGUGCGUAGGCGGUGAGUUAAGUCUGCUGUGAAAUCCCCGGGCUCAACCUGGGAAUGGCAGUGGAUGCUGGCUCGCUAGAGUGUGUCAGAGGAUGGUGGAAUUCCCGGUGUAGCGGUGAAAUGCGUAGAUAUGCGGAGGAACACCGAUGGCGAAGGCAGCCCCCUGGGCCAAUACUGACGCUCAUGCACGAAAGCGUGGGGAGCAAACAGGAUUAAAGACCCCGUAGUCCCUGUCUCUUAUACA